RNAcentral lists this ribosomal RNA (244 nucleotides) under uncultured bacterium. Its description in RNAcentral is "partial 16S ribosomal RNA". It matches the Rfam family "Bacterial small subunit ribosomal RNA", at positions 15 to 239 of the family's 1533-position model. The record is from RNAcentral.
GAUCAUGGCUCAGGACGAACGCUGGCGGCGUGCCUAACACAUGCAAGUCGAACGGAACUGUUUUGAAAGAUUUCUUCGGAAUGAAUUUGAUUUAGUUUAGUGGCGGACGGGUGAGUAACGCGUGAGUAACCUGCCUUCAAGAGGGGGAUAACAUUCUGAAAAGAAUGCUAAUACCGCAUGAUAUAUCGGAACCACAUGGUUUUGAUAUCAAAGAUUUUAUCGCUUGAAGAUGGACUCGCGUCCG